Molecule: ribosomal RNA, 253 nt
Filed under: uncultured bacterium
Lineage: Bacteria
Description: partial 16S ribosomal RNA
Rfam family: Bacterial small subunit ribosomal RNA
Source: RNAcentral
UACGGGGGGGGCAAGCGUUGUUCGGAAUUACUGGGCGUAAAGGGCCCGUAGGCGGCCAACUAAGUCAGACGUGAAAUCCCUCGGCUUAACCGGGGAACUGCGUCUGAUACUGGAUGGCUUGAGAUUGGGAGAGGGAUGCGGAAUUCCAGGUGUAGCGGUGAAAUGCGUAGAUAUCUGGAGGAACACCGGUGGCGAAGGCGGCAUCCUGGACCAACACUGACGCUGAGGAGCGAAAGCCAGGGGAGCAAACGGG